UAGUUCAGAAGACUGGUGGGCUA
RNAcentral lists this unclassified non-coding RNA (23 nucleotides) under Mus musculus (house mouse). RNAcentral's name for it is "oocyte_clustered_small_RNA1745". The record is from RNAcentral. Lineage: Eukaryota; Metazoa; Chordata; Mammalia; Rodentia; Muridae.